GGGACUACAUUUUUAUCAAAUCUUGCCUUGGAUUGAAGAUGCCUUGUAUACCUCCUCCAGGCUCUAACAGUAACUACUAUUAGAAAUAUGUUUAAAAAUUCAUUUAACUCCUGAGCAUCAAGUGGGCUCCUGGGGUUGCUUUCCUGCAACUACCAACUUGCCAUGGAUGACUGUUCUCUCUUCUGGGAGAGCAGAGGGGGAAAAUACAGUCUGAGUGGU
Small nucleolar RNA from Nannospalax galili (Upper Galilee mountains blind mole rat), 219 nucleotides. RefSeq annotates it as small nucleolar RNA U3. The transcript has a single exon. Lineage: Eukaryota; Metazoa; Chordata; Mammalia; Rodentia; Spalacidae. The record is from RefSeq and is a predicted model, not a curated record.